This 587-nucleotide ribosomal RNA is filed under the name uncultured bacterium. Its description in RNAcentral is "partial 16S ribosomal RNA". It matches the Rfam family "Bacterial small subunit ribosomal RNA", at positions 355 to 937 of the family's 1533-position model. The record is from RNAcentral.
UGGGGAAUAUUGGACAAUGGGCGCAAGCCUGAUCCAGCCAUGCCGCGUGGGUGAAGAAGGCCUUCGGGUUGUAAAGCCCUUUUGUUGGGAAAGAAAAGCAGUCGGUUAAUACCCGAUUGUUCUGACGGUACCCAAAGAAUAAGCACCGGCUAACUUCGUGCCAGCAGCCGCGGUAAUACGAAGGGUGCAAGCGUUACUCGGAAUUACUGGGCGUAAAGCGUGCGUAGGUGGUUUGUUAAGUCUGAUGUGAAAGCCCUGGGCUCAACCUGGGAAUUGCAUUGGAUACUGGCAGGCUGGAGUGCGGUAGAGGGUAGUGGAAUUCCCGGUGUAGCAGUGAAAUGCGUAGAGAUCGGGAGGAACAUCCGUGGCGAAGGCGACUACCUGGACCAGCACUGACACUGAGGCACGAAAGCGUGGGGAGCAAAACAGGAUUAGAUACCCUGGUAGUCCACGCCCUAAACGAUGCGAACUGGAUGUUGGGUUCAAUUAGGAACUCAGUAUCGAAGCUAACGCGUUAAGUUCGCCGCCUGGGGAGUACGGUCGCAAGACUGAAACUCAAAGGAAUUGACGGGGUCAUAGCUGUUUCC